AUACGGAGGGUCCAAGCGUUAUCCGGAUUCAUUGGGUUUAAAGGGUCCGCAGGCGGGAAAAUAAGUCAGUGGUGAAAGCCUACAGCUCAACUGUAGAACUGCCAUUGAUACUGUUUUUCUUGAGUAUAGAUGAAGUGGGCGGAAUAUAUCAUGUAGCGGUGAAAUGCAUAGAUAUGAUAUAGAACACCGAUUGCGAAGGCAGCUCACUAAACUAUUACUGACGCUCAGGGACGAAAGCGUGGGGAGCGAACAGGAUUAGAAACCCCGGUAGUCC
RNAcentral lists this ribosomal RNA (274 nucleotides) under uncultured bacterium. RNAcentral's name for it is "partial 16S ribosomal RNA". It matches the Rfam family "Bacterial small subunit ribosomal RNA", at positions 523 to 796 of the family's 1533-position model. The record is from RNAcentral.